GUGCUCCCUUCAGCAGCACAUAUACUAAAAUUGGAAUGAUACAGAGAAAAUUAACAUGGCCCCUGUGCAAAAAUGACAUGCAAAUUUGUGAAGUAUUCCACAUUUUC
Small nuclear RNA from Callithrix jacchus (white-tufted-ear marmoset), 107 nucleotides. NCBI's taxonomy places the organism in Eukaryota, Metazoa, Chordata, Mammalia, Primates, Cebidae. The record is from Ensembl.